GUCCAAGCUGUAAACGAUGAUUACUAGGUGUGGGGGGUCUGACCCCUUCCGUGCCGGAGUUAACACAAUAAGUAAUCCACCUGGGGAGUACGGUCGCAAGACUGAAACUCAAAGGAAUUGACGGGGGCCCGCACAAGCAGUGGAGUAUGUGGUUUAAUUCGAAGCAACGCGAAGAACCUUACCAGGUCUUGACAUCCUAAGAAUCCUUCAGAGAUGAGGGAGUGCCUUCGGGAACUUAGAGACAGGUGGUGCAUGGUUGUCGU
This 263-nucleotide ribosomal RNA is filed under the name uncultured bacterium. RNAcentral's name for it is "partial 16S ribosomal RNA". It matches the Rfam family "Bacterial small subunit ribosomal RNA", at positions 793 to 1055 of the family's 1533-position model. The record is from RNAcentral.